Brassica napus (rape) is the source of this 1154-nucleotide long non-coding RNA. RefSeq lists it as uncharacterized. The record is from RefSeq and is a predicted model, not a curated record. Lineage: Eukaryota; Viridiplantae; Streptophyta; Magnoliopsida; Brassicales; Brassicaceae. The transcript has 2 exons.
CAUUUUCAAAUGAGUACAUCUUUUUUAAUAAUAUAGAUUAAAAUCUAACUAAUGUUUAGUUUACUUUUUUAGCUCUUAACUUUUCAACACACUAUUCUCUUUCUUUAUAUUUUCUUUUCUCUUUUUGCCGAAAUUCAGUCCAUCGAUAAAAGACGACGGAGAAGAAGAAGUUGAGCGUUAGAUUCAUCAAUUGCGUUGACGGAGAGUAAAGGAUCUUGUUGAUGUAGAGGUGUUAUGUGACGGCGGCUCCGACAAUUUUGGCGGUUGCUCUGUGGCCGGAGAUGGUGAUAAACUUCUUCAGCCGUUCACAGGCCUUUAGAGCCUUUGUGUGUGGGUUUUUAGGCAUCAAAGACAUGUGCUUUCCAUCUAUGGUGUAUCCUCCACCGUUUUCCAUCGUCUCCACAACCAUUAUCCGCCGUCUCUGUCACCGCACCGUGUCUCCACCAACAUUCUCUAGCAUCUCUGCCACAAUUUUAACUUGGAUCCUCUGAUUUGUCCAGAGUCGGAACUCAAAUCGUACCCGUCACAACGUAGAAAUGGCCAUCCGAGGAAAGAUGUAGAGCUGAUGCACGAUAAUAUUUUCCUCAUCCUUUACAAGACCUGUAAGAACAAUCUCUUUUAACAUUUUCAAGUCUGCUUAUUUUCUUCAUCUGGAUUUAUCUUGUUUAAUUGUUUGGUAAAAUUUUAGAUUAUUUUUAUCUUGGCCGUAUUUGUUUCCCUUCUUUGGAUUUUCUUUCUAUCUCAACCUAUUGGAAUUUCAUUGUGAGUGUCGCAUGUUUUUAACAAAAACAGAGUUUGUUUCUUGUUUAUGCAGAAAAUGAGAAUUUAUGCCUCUACGAAUUUCCAACUGAGACAUGUGAGGUUAAUCUUUUGUGUUGAAGUUCCUUUUUUGUGUAGGGAGUGUGACUAUUGUUGCAGAGAGACAAGCAAGUAGUUAAUUUGGGCUAUUGUACACCGUUUACAGUGUACAUGUGGACACUUACAUGCGGAUACCAACAAAAAAUUCAUGUACACUGAUGAACUUAUGGUCGUAUGUACAUAUCAAUAAUUUUUUGUUUGUAAACUUGGUGUCGUUUUUUCUCAUAAUUGAGUUGAUCCCUUGUUUGAAUCAAAAUUGUGAUUUUUUAACUACUAAGGUGAUGAUUGUUUCAGUA